Molecule: long non-coding RNA, 7121 nt
Filed under: Vitis vinifera (wine grape)
Lineage: Eukaryota; Viridiplantae; Streptophyta; Magnoliopsida; Vitales; Vitaceae
Description: long non-coding RNA (VVIN_LNC000505)
Source: RNAcentral
GGAUGAUCAACUAGGUCUACUGUUAGUUUUAGAGCAGGUGGAAUUUAUUUAGGUUCUCCCAUUGGGUUAAGAUAGUUGACGUGGGUUAGAAUUAAACUAAAAGAAAAUUCAUUUUUCAGCUAGAGGAAGGCUACUUCCACCAUUAAUCCUGCUGUUACCUAUUAUUCAAAGCUACCUUUUUAGCUACAAAUUUACCUACAUGUGGAAUAAUAAAUGCAGAACAGGACUAUGUCUUACCACAAGCAAAGUCUUGAUAGUUUUAGAACUGAAAUCAGAGCCAUCCAUUUGGCACUGAUCAAGAAGCACAUCCAAGAAAUCAUUCAUGCUGGUGGUGGAAUUGGAGGCUUUAAGUUUCAUGCGUUCAUGGAUGAUCCCAUCAAGUAUCUCAUGGAGUCUUUUGUAGGAUGGAACGGUGCCCCGCUUCACACCUUGCAAGUCCAAACUCCGGAAUAUGGGAAAAUAAUCUGAAAUGUUGGGCUUCCCAACACCCUCCAUAAUUCUCCACAUCAGCUCCCUGAACUCCUGAGCUGACUCGAAUCUUAGAUCAACAAGGUCAAUGGAGAACAUGGUGUUUGACAUCAAGUUCAAGAUGGUGGCUGAGGCGAGAUCGGUAAUGUAUACCGGUGUUCCCAAAACACAGUGUUUUGUGAUGUGUUGGAGGAGUUGGUCCACUUUUUUCUGCCGCAGGUGUUGGAGUGAGUCGAGUCUUUGAGUAGUGAACAAGUGAGAAGCGCAAACUCUGCGGCGGUUGUGCCACACAUGGUCACCAGGGAUCCAAGCAAGUGUGUAUUCAAGAUUAGGCAUUGCCAUGAUAGCAUCAGGAACAGGAUGAUCCAAGAAGUUGUCAACAUGGUUUUGGAGGAUUGGUUUGGUUGUUUGAGGGAAGGAAGCGACCAUGGUGGUGAUAGAGCCGAGGCGGAGAGAGAUGAGAGGGUCGUGGGAUUCCGUGAAUUUUGCAAGUGAGUGGUGGGGUUUUUCAUCGAGUUGAAGCAGUGAACCCACGAUGGGAAGGCCAGUUGGACCAGGUGGUAGCUUUGCAGUGUAUGAUGGCAAGAGAAAGUGGUGGAGACAAAAACAGAAGAGUGUGAAGCAAAGCAGGAGCACGACGAUUUGAAGUUCUAUCUCACUGACUUUUAGACUCUUCUUCCUUCCCUCUUUUGUGUUUGAGUUCCUUUGUAUAUACUAGUGGUAUGAUACUUAACUUGUGAUUCAUAUGGGUAGUGUGAUCCGCACGAGUGAUGUAUGUUAAUGCAUAGACUUUGGAUUUAAGUAUUUAAUCAUGUAUUAAUAUAUGAAACCAAAAAUUUUAAAAUCUUAUUUUAAAGCCUUAUUUUAAAUCAUAUAUGUAUACAUGUUUUCUUGAAAGUUUCACCUAUGAAGUCUAUAAUAAGAUUUGGAAGAAAAGAGAAACUCAGUCCUUGUUUUGUGGGACCAUUUGAGGUAUUAGGAAGAGUAGGCACUUUGGCUUAUAAAGUGGCCUUGACCCCUAGUCUAUCUAAGAUUCAUAAUGUAUUCCAUGUUUCAACUUUGAGGAAAUACAUUUAUGACCCCUCUCAUGUUGUGGAGUUGGAGCCUAUUCAAAUUUCUGAGGACUUGACCUAUGAAGAGGUGCACAUUCAAAUUGUGGAUGUGAUGGAUAAGGUACUACGACAUGUUGUUGUCAAGUUGGUAAAGGUCCAAUGGAGCAAUCAUAGUAUCUGAGAGCCCACUUGGGAGUUAGAAGAAGAGAUUGGAGAAAAACAUCCUCAAUUAUUUCAAGACUCAAGUAUGUCAAGUUUAGAGGACUAAACUUCUGUUAAGGAGGGGAGGAUGUAACGCCCAAGUUUCUUUUUAGGAAAAUAUUAUUAAUAAUAAUAUUAAAUUAAUUAAUUAAUUAAUUUAAUAAAUUGGAAGAUGGGUGAAAAGGUAAUUUUACGAAUAAAUACCCUAGGUAUAAAUUAGAAUUCUGUUCUUCCUGUUCUCUUAUGAAUCGUAUUCCUGUUCACAGAGAGUUCCUAAGAACGUAUGAUUUGAGUCGGAUUUCAGGGUUUGAAGAACAGAUCUCUAUAGGUAAGAUUCUAACUCCUAGAUUAAUAUUUUAGAUUCAUUAGUUAAUUUUAAGCACAUUAUAUAUAUUUUUUGGAAAACCCAAAUCUAGAUUAGGGUUAGUUUUUUUUUAAUUUGUUAUAAUAUCAAAAUAGUGAAAAUUUAAGAUUUUGAUUUAUUGUUGGAAAUUGGGAAAUCUUAAGUUUUUAGAUGAAAAAAAAAUUUAUUUGGAAGAUUUUGAUUUAGAAUAGGGUUAAUUUAUUUAAAAUAAAUAUAUUGUUAAUUGUGGCUUAAGGGAUUAGAAAAAUAUUAAAACAAUUUGAUUUAAAAAAAAAAAAAAAGAACGCAUGUGCAUUGGAAAAUAGAAGAAUGGUGAAGAAAAAAAAAACAAAGGAGAACGCGUGUGCAUUGGAAAAUAGAAUAAUUAUGGAAAAAAAAAUGGUUGCCUGCGUGUGGGAACUGGUUAGUUUUAGGCUAAGAAAUAAGAUAUAGUAAUAAUGGUUUAAUGUAAUAAAUAGAAUGAGGUAAUUGUAGGGGGUGCAAUCCAUGUGUGCUGAAAGCAUGACUCAAAAAGUAUGCCAGCCUAAGAAAUAAAAAAUAAAUAAAUAAAGCUUGAAAUAGCCAAGACAUUGUUACUACUUAAAUAACUAAUGAACUCCAAAGAAACUUCUCUUACAUGUAGAAUCGUCAACAAUAUAUAUAUAGUUGACCUUUACAUUUCUUGGUGGGGAAUGUAAUUGAUUUGGACCCCAGCCUCUAGGGGUUUGGUUAGAGGUUUCUAAUACUAGUAAUGUUUGGUUCUGUCCACCUUAAAGGAACAAUUUGAGGCUAGCCACCUAUUUGAAAAGUCCCACCUAACUGGGCACCAUUUGAUGUUUGAUGACCAGAAUAAAUAAAUGAUUUGAAUGUUUUGACUGAAUUUGAUAUGAAAAUGUUUGAAUCAGAAAUGAAAGUGUCCAUUUAAAAGUUUUGAAUGUAUUGGCAAAACUGACUCAAAAGUUUAUGAAAAUAAUUAGUUAUAAUAUCUCCUAUUUUGCAAGUGAACUUGAAAUAUUUGAUCUAUGGGCUGCAUUAAUGUUCCUUAUUGGGCUUUUAGCUCAUUCCCCUUUGUUGAUAAUUUUUUCAGGUACCCUUAGUUCGGGCGAGGAGUGAUGGCUAGGCCGGGGAAUGGUCAUCAUUAGGAUUUUGCUUAGGAUAUUAUUUUUGGACAUUUUUAGUUUAUAAGUUUAUGUUCAUUUGGACUAUUUGGUUUUUUGGGAGCUAUUUAGAUAUUGGACUUUUAAUUUUUAUUUUUUUUAUUUUUUAUGAUAGAUUGAAAUUGGGUUUUGGAGAUUAUGGAAAUUUUUGUUAGCACUUGAAUUGUUUGAGUUUGCAAUCUAUUUGGAUAAUGGAUUCUUGGUUGAUGAAUACUUAGUUUAAAGUUAAGUUUUGAACAUUUUAGAAUUUUGUUCCGCUACUCUUAACAAGUAUUUGGUAAUUGGUAACUUGCAGUUACAAGAUAAUUGUUUGGGUCAGGUUACACUUUAAGUCUUCGAGUUUGAGGUGUGAAAUGAUCAUCAUGCCCUUAGAGUGGGUCUUGGGGCGUGACUGAGUGGUAUCAGAGCCGAUCCCUGACCCUGGUGUGGGGGUUUGUUUGGCCCUGUAAGGGGUGUUUGUCUGUUUGGCCACGCAAUCCCAUGGGACACAACGAGGACGUUGUGUCUGCAUGGGGGGUGUUUAUGAUGUCCCACAUCGAAUAGGGGAGAAUGUUCUUGGCGCUAUAUAUGUAGAGACUCCUCUUAACCAAGUAGACGCAUUUUAAAGCCGUGAGGGUCCCUUUGAGUUCAAAGCGGACAAUAUCUACACGGUUGGGAACGGGUCAUUACAAAUGGUAUCAGAGCCGAUCCCUGACCUCGGUGUGGGGGUUUGUUUGGCCCCGUAAGGGGUGUUUGUCUAUUUGGCCCCACAAUCCCAUGGGACAUAACGAGGACGUUGUGUAUGCAUGGAGGGUGUUUGUGAUGUCCCACAUCGGAUAGGGGAGAAUGUUCCUGGCGCUAUAUAUGUAGAGGCUCCUCUUAACCAAGUAGACGCGUUUUAAAGCCGUUAAGGCCCCUUUGGGUUCAAAGCGGAUAAUAUCUACACAGUUGGGAGCAGGUCGUUAUGAUGUCUCACAUCGGAUAAGGGAGAAAGUUUAUGGCGUUAUAUAUAUAAAGACUCCUUUUAACCAAGUAAAUGUGUUUUAAAGCCGUGAGGGCCCCUUUGGGUCCAAAGCAGACAAUAUCUACAUGGUUGGGAGCGGGUCGUUACAAAUGGUAUCAGAGCCGAUCCCCAACCCCGGUAUGGGGGUUUGUUUGGCCCCGUAAGGGGUGUUUGUCUAUUUGGUCCCACAAUCCCGUGGGACACAAUGAUGACGUUGUGUUUGCAUGGGGGGUGUUUGUGACAUCCCACAUCGGAUAGGGGAGAAAGUUCUUGGCGUUAUAUAUGUAGAGGCUCCUUUUAACCAAGUAGACGCGUUUUAAAGCUAUGAGGGCCUCUUUGGGUCCAAAGCGGACAAUAUCUACAUGAUUGGGAGCGGGUCGUUACAAUUAUGGACUGGAAACACACAUUCACAUUAUUGAAGGGGUUGCUCAUGUAUCAUUAUGGUUGUUCAUGUUUCACAUCAAUGUUAAGGACCAACCAAUAAAAAGAAUUGACAAAUAAUGAAUUAUAUGUGAGGAAGGAAAUAGUGAUCUCUAACACAAAUAAGCCCAAUUCAACUGAACUUUUUGGCAUUCAAUUUAAGGAAUAAUAUUUUAUAGUAAAACGUAUUUCACAAAAAAUCAUAUUUUAAGGUAAACGGAUGAUGUUUCACCAACCAUGAUUUUUAUUUUAUUUUACUUUUUUUAUGACAAAAAAAAUGACCUUUUACGAUGAAUUUUUUUCUUAAAAUAAAAUAACAUGUGAUUAUAAACUUGUUUUAUGUUGAAAAAUGAUACGUUGUCACAAAAUUUAUUUUGUGGUGAAAAAUGACAUAUUACCACAAUUUUUAUUUUGUGGAAAAAUUAUUUAUUUUUCUUUAAUUCUAAAUGUUAUGAUUAAAAAUAAUUGCUCACGGACUUGUAGCAACGAACUGAUCAUAAAUAACUUUUUUAUGAAAAAAAUUCUUUUACCAUAAAAUACUCUCCAUUAAUCAUAAAUUAAUUUAUGGCAAAACCCCACAUUUGUUGUAAUGUCUCUUAAAAGAGAAUGACUACCAGUUUUACUCUACAUUUCCCACUCUCUACUUGUACAGGUCGCUAAUGGCCAGCCUUAACCUCCCUCAUUUAGAGCAGAAAGGGAGCUUAAAAAGGCAAGAAAAGAGAAAUCUGGAAGCAGCUGUGGAGAAGGCUGCCAGUCGCUAUAGAGAGACUUGGCGACUAGCAAAAUGUGAGGUAAACCUUUCAAAAAGUUUAAGGAAAAUACUGUAGAAACCACAUUAAACCCAAAAUAAGGGGUUAGAAAAACUAGGUGAAAUUAUGAAAUUACAACUUAAUAUUAAAUAGAAUCACUUAAGUUAAUUUAUACAAAAAAAUAUGUAACUAUUGAGUUUCUAUCACUACCAAGUGAAAAGCUUGACAAAUAUAUUCAACCUUUAGUUUACCAAUGGAAGGCUACGAGACCAUGACUUCAAUACAUAGGAUAUUUUGUUCAAAAGAAACAGAUAGAAUUAUGGAGAGCAUUUUUCUUCUAUGAAUGGAAUGGCGCAAAGGGGAACGACCUUUUUCAGGGUAACUCCAAACUGCUCCUUCAUGUCGAGGCUCUCCGGAGUGAUUCCCUGAGGAAGCUUCCAACUGAACGAAUGAAUAAUGGAAGCUAGUACUAAAUGAACCAUUCUUAGACCAAGGGAUAUGCCUGGGCAGAUUCGCUUACCUGCUCCAAAUGGUAGGUAUUCAAAAUCUUGACCUCUAAAAUCUAUGUUAGAACUCAAGAAUCUUUCAGGAAGGAAUGACAAUGGAUCCUCCCAGUAUCCUGGAUCUCUUGCAAUAGCCCAAAUAUUCACUAGAACAUGACUGUCCUUCGGUAUGGUGAAACCACAUAUUUCUAGGUCAUUCUUUGCCUUAUAUGGUAAGAGAAGAGGAGCAGGCGGAUGGAGUCUCAUUGUCUCUUUUACAACCGCUUGAAAAUAUGGCAGUCGAUCAAUAUCUGAUUCUUUUAUACUUUGCCCUGGGCUGAUUACCUCACUCAGCUCUAUUCGAACCUUUUGCAUCACAUGAGGAUUGCGAAGAAGUUCAGCCAUUGCCCACUCGAUUGUUACUGAAGAAGUAUCACUUCCACCAAAGACUAGUUCCUGUAAUUAUUUACAUAUAUGUUCAUUUUAAGAUGCCAACACAAAUCUAAUCACCUUAUCAAAAGGUAUACUGGAACUCUAUAACACUCCUAAAUAUAUAUUUAUGUAUAUUUGUAUGAAGGAAAUACAGAUCCCUAGCAAUUUCUUUCUUUCAAUGCUUCAAGUGGAACUGCAACUUGACAGUUGCGAGCAACAUAAACUUUAAGCCAUAAGCCAAGUUCAAGUUGACCUUUGAGCAGGAUUGGGUAAACAUAUUUGAAGUUGGGGAUGGUCUAGAGAUGACCCUUUCCAACCUUAGCUCAAAUUCAAGUUAGACUUAGGCUGAAGCAUUAGAGAAUUAGCCUUUGUCAAUAUGCAUGCAUAUAGUCUUAUUCAACAUUAUGCUACUUAAUUUAUAUUUUCCCUUAGCCUUCCACUUUAUCUCAUAGUUGGUUUAACUUCUUUCAUCCCAUUGUUUCUGGAUUCCUAACAUUCUCAAUUCGCAUGACUUCUCCAAAUCCCCUCCUUUAUUUUCACCUUAUCUGAAUUCGUCAUUCAUGUCAACUGUGCUAAAUCUUUAUGUGUGUGUCAAGGAUGAUCAACUAGGUCUAGUGUUAGUUUUAGAGCAGGCGGAAUUUAUUUAGGCUCUCCCAUUGGGUUAAGAUAGUUGGCGUAGGUCAGAAUUUAACAAGAAGAAGAUUCAUUUUUCAGGCAGAGGAAGGCUACUUCCACCAUUAAUCCUGAUGUUACCUACUGUUCAAAGCUACCUUUUUAGCUACAAAUUUACCUACAUAUGGAAUAAUAAAUGCAGAACAGGGCUAUGUCUUACCAC